RNAcentral lists this ribosomal RNA (492 nucleotides) under uncultured bacterium. RNAcentral describes it as "partial 16S ribosomal RNA". It matches the Rfam family "Bacterial small subunit ribosomal RNA", at positions 29 to 507 of the family's 1533-position model. The record is from RNAcentral.
AGUGAACGCUGGCGGUAGGCCUAACACAUGCAAGUCGAACGGCAGCACAGUAAGAGCUUGCUCUUACGGGUGGCGAGUGGCGGACGGGUGAGGAAUACAUCGGAAUCUACUUUUUCGUGGGGGAUAACGUAGGGAAACUUACGCUAAUACCGCAUACGACCUACGGGUGAAAGCAGGGGAUCUUCGGACCUUGCGCGAUUGAAUGAGCCGAUGUCGGAUUAGCUAGUUGGCGGGGUAAAGGCCCACCAAGGCGACGAUCCGUAGCUGGUCUGAGAGGAUGAUCAGCCACACUGGAACUGAGACACGGUCCAGACUCCUACGGGGGACAGCAGUGGGGAAUAUUGGACAAUGGGCGCAAGCCUGAUCCAGCCAUACCGCGUGGGUGAAGAAGGCCUUCGGGUUGUAAAGCCCUUUUGUUGGGAAAGAAAAGCAGCAGGUUAAUACCCCGCUGUUCUGACGGUACCCAAAGAAUAAGCACCGGCUAACUUCGUG